This is a long non-coding RNA of Daphnia pulicaria, 572 nucleotides long. RefSeq lists it as uncharacterized. The record is from RefSeq and is a predicted model, not a curated record. NCBI's taxonomy places the organism in Eukaryota, Metazoa, Arthropoda, Branchiopoda, Diplostraca, Daphniidae. The transcript is spliced from 4 exons.
UGAGUCUGAAGUUGCUAGUUUCAUUCUAUCGAGUAUCACGUCGUGAACUCAUUCCAUUAAAAUUGAUUGUAUUUGUAGAGCAUAUUAAUCCUUCCAUUACAUCACACUGGUUGUCGAAUGGAAGUGAAAUGACUUUGAUGAAAAAGUAAUGUUAUGUUGGUGAGCGACUGAGCGGGAAGAAAGCUUACUGUGUCUAUUGUAUGCUAUUGUUUAUUGUUUUGAAGACUGUUUACCAGUUCAUUUAUAGGGACUGGCUUAACAAGAAAUGGAAGUUGCAAAAGGGGAGUGUUCAUUAAUGGGUGUAAACCACACAUUGUUGCUACCAAUAUGCAAUGCAGCAGUCUCAUCAUGUUGUCCUCCAGAUGCACCUUCGCGAUUUCCCCGAAGAAAGAUUUGUGUGUUAAUAUCAAUCUAGGUGCUUUGAAAAUUCAGACUGAGAGAGGAAUACAACUAACUGGUAAAACCGACUCAACGAAAGAAGGUUGGACCCACGGGAAUAUGGAACAAGGUUAUCUGCCGAGGAUCAACGAGAAAGGGGAGGAAAUUCCACCGCCAGUGCCGUGCCAAUCAAA